UACGGGGGGAGCAAGCGUUGUUCGGAUUUACUGGGCGUAAAGGGCGCGUAGGCGGCCAGCACAAGUCAGUUGUGAAAUCUCCGAGCUUAACUCGGAAAGGUCAACUGAUACUGUGCGGCUAGAGUGCAGAAGGGGCAACUGGAAUUCUUGGUGUAGCGGUGAAAUGCGUAGAUAUCAAGAGGAACACCUGCGGCGAAGGCGGGUUGCUGGGCUGACACUGACGCUGAAGCGCGAAAGCUAGGGGAGCGAACGGG
RNAcentral lists this ribosomal RNA (254 nucleotides) under uncultured bacterium. Its description in RNAcentral is "partial 16S ribosomal RNA". It matches the Rfam family "Bacterial small subunit ribosomal RNA", at positions 524 to 776 of the family's 1533-position model. The record is from RNAcentral.